CCACCGGUGAGAGGAUUACGUAAGCUAAUAGCUAAUGUAUCAAAGGAAAGGAGAGAAAAGAAACAGCCAUGGCAACCAGAGCAAUAGGGCCCAGGCUUUGGCCCUCAGAAGAAACCUGUAUCCACCUAGCAAAAGGAGGAUAAGGACUAACUGGGAGAAAACCAGAGGGGAUGGUGAACAGAAAAGUCAACAACAGGAAAUGGCAGACUGUGGCCUAGUCAUCCUCUGGCUGUCAGAUCUCGGCUUAUUGCAUGAGACAUAAUCUGCCAUCUUCAGGAGUGUGAACCUGGUCCUCUUCGAGUCUCUGGGUUCUUCCCUUCAUGCCGAGUGGUGCUUUGGUGGGAAAAUUGUGUUUUUCUUUGAAUAUAACCUUUUCUAGAGAUAGAGGUGGGCGGCACUAUGAUCAGAGAACCUUUAUCCUCUGCAUUCCUCCCAAUGCUCGGCUCUUCCCCGAGAAAUGGCCCUCAACCCAAUGCAGGGGCAAUGGCUAGCCCCAGGAACAAUCAUCCCAAGAUUCUCAAGUUUAAAGAGAAUACUUGGCCAGGCUUGGUGGCUCACGCCUGUAAUCCCAGUACUUUGGGAGGCCGAGGCAGGCGGAUCACGAGGUCAGGAGAUCGAGACCAUCCUGGAUAACAUGGUGAAACCCCGUCUCUACUGAAAAUACAAAAAAUUAGCCGGGCAUGGUGGCGGGCACCUGUAGUCCCAGCUACUCAGGAGGCUGAGGCAGGAGAAUGGCGUGAACCCGGGAGGCGGAGCUUGCAGUGAGCCGAGGUCGCGCCACUGCACUCCAGCUUGGGCGACAGAGGGAGACUCCGUCUCAAAAAAAAAAAAAAAAAAGAAUACUCAUCUCUGGUUCAAAAUGUCUUGAUUCUAGAAUUUCAGUACUUGGAUUUGAACACUUCCUCUGGCAAGUUAGGGAUGACUUCACAUUGUCCACUAACUUCAAAAUCCUCUUUAUGGCAUGAGAAAGAUCCACAACAUUGAAGAGUCCUUAUCACUCUAAAUAAUUCUGAGUUCCUAAACUCAGGUGAAUAAGAUUCACAGAGGGUAGCGGAUGCUGCCUGGCUUUGCCCCACCCCAGAUCCGUAUGGUCCUCCUGAGUUCAUCUGCAGCUGUGAUCCAGGCAAACUGACAGCUCCCCACCUCCCCUGCUGUCUUCCAUGCCUGGGGGCUUUGGAGCCUCCCCAGCUUCUGGUGGGACAAUGCUGAGUUGGGCUGCACACGGUUUUUCAAAAGAUCCCCUGGGAUUGAGCCCCAGUUGCCCUGGAGCCCUAACAUGAAACUACUCCCUAACCCCUGGAAUUGGCCUUUCUCCUUUUCCCAUGGCAUUUUCCCGACUUCCUCACUUGUGCUUCCUGGGAUUACCUCUCCAGGAGGGGCAAUUAAACAAACAACCUGCAUCCACACCCUUGCCUCAGGGCCUGAUUUUCAGGGAAUACAAACAACUGACUCUGCAUUGUAGAGAAGCCCUGUUUUGCCUUGAUGACACAUCUAGUCUCUAAUAAUGGUGUCCCAAGAGGUUGUUCAGUCUGGCCUUUCUCCCUGUAUACAAGCAGAUUAACUAGGAAGCAUGAGAAGUUGAAAUGUCAGGGCCUAUCACUCGAACAAGCCAUUUUCAAGCCUUGGGAAGGGCUCUAGAAAUCUACUCACAUGGUAUAUGUUUUUGUAAAAUUUACAAAGGCAAGACAUUUUAACCCUAGUCAGUCAAGACCACUGUCUCUUUUCAGGUUGUAUUCUGGUGACGGAGAGUACUUUGGGAAUCUAGCUAAAGGGGAAAUUGAGUUAGAAAUACACAUUUUAACUGAAAUUUGGCAAGAUGUUUCAGAACAUUUCAGUAAAAUAAAUGUAAAAUUACAGACUCCUGUUGGGAGAAUAUGGAGUGUUCUUUCUGCUAUCUUUAAAUCAAGUAUUUAAAGAACUGAGAGAAAAUGUCAAUAAAAAAGUAAUAGAGUAAGACACAAAAGCAACAGAGUGAGCAAUAAAAUCAAUAGAAAUUAUUUCAAUAUCAAGAAGUAAAUUGCAACAAAAACAUUCAGCAUAUCAAAUGCAGUCAGAAGAAUAGAGUAAAAAUAAUGAUAGGCUUAUGGAUUAUUUGAUAACACAAUUAAUAAACACAAGUGAGUCAUGUGAAUACACUGGAAAAAAUUAAAUACCCCAAUUUUUUGACACCAAAUAUUGAUAUCAAUGAAUAAAAUAUAAACUCAAAAUACAUCACCACAAUGAGUACACCUAUGACAAACUGGUUAAUGACUGUCAUUAAUUCAAAGUACUCAACAUAGGAUAGUGCACUAGAAAGCUUGAAAUGCCUUGAAAACAAACAGAUCAUAUGUGCCAAAAACUUAAUAGAGGUUUCCAAAUUUGAGAACAGUCCUAACAAUUUACAUGACAUUGUCAACUAUGAGUUGUGAAAGCUAUAUGAAAUGUUUCUAAAUUAUCAAAAAUAAAAAACAAACUGUAAUCCAUCAUGGUAGAAGAAAGACUAAAUUAUCUUUCUAUUCUCUCUAUGGAAUGUUAUUCCUAAAACAUUAUCAUAUGAAGAUGAAACUAAAGAAUUUGCUUUCAGAAAUGGAAGGGAAAAAUUAUCAAAGAAGUCUGAAAGUAGGAAAUUCGAUUAAAUAUUAGGCUAAAUAAAAUAAAAUGUAUUCAUUUACUUUUAAAAUAAAAAAUAUUCUAUUACUUUUCAGGAUGUUGUUUUUUGUGCUGUUUGUCAUUAAGUAUCUGUCAUUU
RNAcentral lists this long non-coding RNA (2727 nucleotides) under Homo sapiens (human). RNAcentral describes it as "HSALNT0115473". Lineage: Eukaryota; Metazoa; Chordata; Mammalia; Primates; Hominidae. The record is from RNAcentral.